UACAGAGGUGGCAAGCGUUGUUCGGAAUUACUGGGCGUAAAGGGCGCGUAGGCGGUCUUGCAAGUCCCGUGUGAAAUCCCUCGGCUCAACUGAGGAAUGGCACGGGAAACUGCUUGGCUUGAGUUCGGGAGAGGGAAGCGGAAUUCCGGGUGUAGCGGUGAAAUGCGUAGAUAUCCGGAGGAACACCGGUGGCGAAGGCGGCUUCCUGGACCGACACUGACGCUGAGGCGCGAAAGCUAGGGGAGCAAACAGG
This 253-nucleotide ribosomal RNA is filed under the name uncultured bacterium. RNAcentral's name for it is "partial 16S ribosomal RNA". It matches the Rfam family "Bacterial small subunit ribosomal RNA", at positions 524 to 776 of the family's 1533-position model. The record is from RNAcentral.